UACGUAGGGUGCGAGCGUUAAUCGGAAUUACUGGGCGUAAAGCGUGCGCAGGCGGUUGUACAAGACAGGCGUGAAAUCCCCGGGCUCAACCUGGGAACUGCGCUUGUGACUGUACGACUAGAGUACGGCAGAGGGGGGUAGAAUUCCACGUGUAGCAGUGAAAUGCGUAGAGAUGUGGAGGAAUACCGAUGGCGAAGGCAGCCCCCUGGGCCAGUACUGACGCUACUGCACGAAAGCGUGGGGAGCAAACAGG
RNAcentral lists this ribosomal RNA (253 nucleotides) under uncultured bacterium. RNAcentral describes it as "partial 16S ribosomal RNA". It matches the Rfam family "Bacterial small subunit ribosomal RNA", at positions 524 to 776 of the family's 1533-position model. The record is from RNAcentral.